RNAcentral lists this ribosomal RNA (253 nucleotides) under uncultured bacterium. Its description in RNAcentral is "partial 16S ribosomal RNA". It matches the Rfam family "Bacterial small subunit ribosomal RNA", at positions 524 to 776 of the family's 1533-position model. The record is from RNAcentral.
UACGUAGGGUGCAAGCGUUGUCCGGAAUUAUUGGGCGUAAAGAGCUCGUAGGCGGUUUGUCGCGUCUGCUGUGAAAACUCGGGGCUUAACCCUGGGCCUGCAGUGGGUACGGGCAGACUAGAGGUAUGCAGGGGAGAACGGAAUUCCUGGUGUAGCGGUGAAAUGCGCAGAUAUCAGGAGGAACACCGGUGGCGAAGGCGGUUCUCUGGGCAUUACCUGACGCUGAGGAGCGAAAGUGUGGGGAGCGAACAGG